AGGCGGGCUGGACCUCUCGGGGUUACAGCCUUGCUGAAUUAUUCACCCUUGUCUUUUGCGUACUUCUUGUUUCCUUGGUGGGUUCGCCCACCACUAGGACAAACAUAAACCUUUUGUAAUUGCAAUCAGCGUCAGUAACAAAUUAAUAAUUACAACUUUCAACAACGGAUCUCUUGGUUCUGGCAUCGAUGAAGAACGCAGCGAAAUGCGAUAAGUAGUGUGAAUUGCAGAAUUCAGUGAAUCAUCGAAUCUUUGAACGCACAUUGCGCCCUUUGGUAUUCCAAAGGGCAUGCCUGUUCGAGCGUCAUUUGUACCCUCAAGCUUUGCUUGGUGUUGGGCGUCUUGUCUCUAGCUUUGCUGGAGACUCGCCUUAAAGUAAUUGGCAGCCGGCCUACUGGUUUCGGAGCGCAGCACAAGUCGCACUCUCUAUCAGCAAAGGUCUAGCAUCCAUUAAGCCUUUUUUUCAACUUUUGACCUCGGAUCAGGUAGGGAUACCCGCUGAACUUAAGCAUAUCAAUAAGCGGAGGAA
RNAcentral lists this ribosomal RNA (529 nucleotides) under Alternaria alternata. RNAcentral describes it as "eukaryotic LSU rRNA". The stretch from base 154 to 307 matches the Rfam family "5.8S ribosomal RNA". Lineage: Eukaryota; Fungi; Ascomycota; Dothideomycetes; Pleosporales; Pleosporaceae. The record is from RNAcentral.